UACGAAGGGGGCUAGCGUUGCUCGGAAUCACUGGGCGUAAAGGGUGCGUAGGCGGGUCUUUAAGUCAGGGGUGAAAUCUCCAAGCCUAACUUGGAAACUGCGUUGGAUACUAUCCGGCUCGAGGAAUGGAGGGGAGACUGGAAUACUUGGUGUAGCAGUGAAAUGCGUAGAUAUCAAGUGGAACACCAGUGGCGAAGGCGAGUCUCUGGACAUUUCCUGACGCUGAGGCACGAAAGCCAGGGGAGCAAACGGG
RNAcentral lists this ribosomal RNA (253 nucleotides) under uncultured bacterium. RNAcentral describes it as "partial 16S ribosomal RNA". It matches the Rfam family "Bacterial small subunit ribosomal RNA", at positions 524 to 776 of the family's 1533-position model. The record is from RNAcentral.